This 379-nucleotide ribosomal RNA is filed under the name uncultured bacterium. Its description in RNAcentral is "bacterial SSU rRNA". It matches the Rfam family "Bacterial small subunit ribosomal RNA", at positions 30 to 409 of the family's 1533-position model. The record is from RNAcentral.
AUUGAACGCUGGCGGAAUGCUUUACACAUGCAAGUCGAGCGGCAGCACGGGGGCAACCCUGGUGGCGAGCGGCGAACGGGUGAGUAAUACAUCGGAACAUGCCCAGUCGUGGGGGAUAACACUUCGAAAGAAGUGCUAAUACCGCAUACGUCCUGAGGGAGAAAGCGGGGGAUCGCAAGACCUCGCGCGAUUGGAGUGGCCGAUGUCAGAUUAGCUAGUUGGUGGGGUAAAGGCCUACCAAGGCAACGAUCUGUAGCUGGUCUGAGAGGAUGAUCAGCCACACUGGGACUGAGACACGGCCCAGACUCCUACGGGAGGCAGCAGUGGGGAAUUUUGGACAAUGGGGGCAACCCUGAUCCAGCCAUUCCGCGUGAGUGAA